Molecule: ribosomal RNA, 900 nt
Filed under: Hirsutella sp. JQ-2017d
Lineage: Eukaryota; Fungi; Ascomycota; Sordariomycetes; Hypocreales; Ophiocordycipitaceae
Description: eukaryotic LSU rRNA
Rfam family: Eukaryotic large subunit ribosomal RNA
Source: RNAcentral
GGAGGAGAGACAACAGGGAUUGCCCCAGUAACGGCGAGUGAAGCGGCAACAGCUCAAAUUUGAAAUCCGGCGCCCCCCGCGGCGCCCGAGUUGUAAUUUGCAGAGGAUGCUUCUGGCGCGGCGCCUUCCGAGUUCCCUGGAACGGGACGCCACAGAGGGUGAGAGCCCCGUCCGGUCGGACGCCCAGCCUCUGUGAAGCUCCUUCGACGAGUCGAGUAGUUUGGGAAUGCUGCUCUAAACGGGAGGUAUAUGUCUUCUAAAGCUAAAUACCGGCCAGAGACCGAUAGCGCACAAGUAGAGUGAUCGAAAGAUGAAAAGCACUUUGAAAAGAGGGUUAAACAGUACGUGAAAUUGUUGAAAGGGAAGCGCUCGUGCCAGAACUCGGGCGCGGCGAAUCACCCGGCGUUCUCGCCGGUGCACUUCGCCGCGCCCGGGCCAGCAUCAGUUCGCGGCGGGGGAUAAAGGCGCCGGGAACGUGGCUCCCCCGGGAGUGUUAUAGCCCGGCGCGCCAUGCCCCGCGGCGGACUGAGGUUCGCGCGUCCGCAAGGAUGCUGGCGUAAUGGUCACCAGUGACCCGUCUUGAAACACGGACCAAGGAGUCGUCCUCGUAUGCGAGUGUUCGGGCGUCAAACCCCUACGCGCAAUGAAAGUGAACGCAGGUGAGAGCCCUCGCGGGCGCAUCAUCGACCGAUCCUGAUGUCCUCGGAUGGAUUUGAGUAAGAGCAUACGGGGCCGGACCCGAAAGAAGGUGAACUAUGCCUGUGUAGGGUGAAGCCAGAGGAAACUCUGGUGGAGGCUCGCAGCGGUUCUGACGUGCAAAUCGAUCGUCAAACAUGGGCAUGGGGGCGAAAGACUAAUCGAACCUUCUAGUAGCUGGUUUCCGCCGAGUUUCCCCCGAAG